Molecule: unclassified non-coding RNA, 382 nt
Filed under: uncultured bacterium
Lineage: Bacteria
Description: contains 16S-23S intergenic spacer region
Source: RNAcentral
UCACUACUUGCGUAGGCAGUCUCUUUAGAGUUCCCAGCUUAACCUGAUGGCAACUAAAGAUAGGGGUUGCGCUCGUUGCGGGGCUUAACCCAACACCUCACGGCACGAGCUGACGACAGCCAUGCACCACCUGCGCAGAAGUCCCUUGCGGGAGGCUCUGGCUUUCACCAAAGUUUCCUCUGCAUGUCAAACCCAGGUAAGGUUCUUCGCGUUGCCUCGAAUUAAACCACACGCUCCGCUGCUUGUGCGGGCCCCCGCCUAUUCCUUUGAGUUUUAACCUUGCGGCCGUGGUCCCCAGGCGGUGAACUUAAUGCGUUAGCUGCAGCACUAAAGGGCGGAAACCCUCUAACACUUAGCACUCAUCGUUUACGGCGUGGACUAC